This 746-nucleotide ribosomal RNA is filed under the name uncultured Bacteroidales bacterium. Its description in RNAcentral is "bacterial SSU rRNA". It matches the Rfam family "Bacterial small subunit ribosomal RNA", at positions 25 to 758 of the family's 1533-position model. The record is from RNAcentral. Lineage: Bacteria; Pseudomonadati; Bacteroidota; Bacteroidia; Bacteroidales.
CAGGAUGAACGCUAGCUACAGGCUUAACACAUGCAAGUCGAGGGGCAGCAUGGUCUUAGCUUGCUAAGGCUGAUGGCGACCGGCGCACGGGUGAGUAACACGUAUCCAACCUGCCGUCUACUCUUGGCCAGCCUUCUGAAAGGAAGAUUAAUCCAGGAUGGCAUCAUGAGUUCACAUGUCCGCAUGAUUAAAGGUAUUUUCCGGUAGACGAUGGGGAUGCGUUCCAUUAGAUAGUAGGCGGGGUAACGGCCCACCUAGUCAACGAUGGAUAGGGGUUCUGAGAGGAAGGUCCCCCACAUUGGAACUGAGACACGGUCCAAACUCCUACGGGAGGCAGCAGUGAGGAAUAUUGGUCAAUGGGCGAUGGCCUGAACCAGCCAAGUAGCGUGAAGGAUGACUGCCCUAUGGGUUGUAAACUUCUUUUAUAAAGGAAUAAAGUCGGGUAUGCAUACCCGUUUGCAUGUACUUUAUGAAUAAGGAUCGGCUAACUCCGUGCCAGCAGCCGCGGUAAUACGGAGGAUCCGAGCGUUAUCCGGAUUUAUUGGGUUUAAAGGGAGCGUAGAUGGAUGUUUAAGUCAGUUGUGAAAGUUUGCGGCUCAACCGUAAAAUUGCAGUUGAUACUGGAUGUCUUGAGUGCAGUUGAGGCAGGCGGAAUUCGUGGUGUAGCGGUGAAAUGCUUAGAUAUCACGAAGAACUCCGAUUGCGAAGGCAGCCUGCUAAGCUGCAACUGACAUUGAGGCUCGAAA